CCAGCGAACUCCCUGCGGCCCGCGGCACUUUCCAGGGCGGGGGUGCCUGCAACCUCUGAAGCCCCAAAGGGCGUUUUUUACAGUGCUCUUUUAGCUCUGCUGACCGCGGAUGGCUUAAGUGUUAACAGCUGAGUGGACUCUUUGCCUUUUCGCAUGAGUUGGCCGCCCUGUGCCAGCAAGGGCAAAGGGCCAGUGUAACAGCUGUUUGUAUCUGCACUCGUGGCUCCUGAGCUCCUGUCUGGCAUACAGGAAAAACGAGGUCACAUCAACAAAUUGAAGGAUGGUAAAUGUUGGGGACUUUAUUGCCAAUGAAAGCGGCUCUCACUGGGAGCUGAAAAGGGGAUGGAAAGCUGAAAAGGGGAGGAGGUGAGUAGAUACCUGAAGUCUGACCAUCUACAGCAGCUGGAUUAUUCUCCAAAGUUACACUGUCAAGCUGUCCCUCUGAAGCCAAGACACUUCUCUCCGACAUCCAGCCGUAGUUUCUGCUCUUCUCCAAUUGAGUAUGAGAUACUGCAGCAGGAACCGUCAUAUCCAAUCAACCUAAAGUUCUCCGUUCACCAAUCACCUGUCAGGAUGGACCAAUUUCCAUUUAACCAUCAGUAGAACCUGGGACCAGGAUCCCACCUUGGAAACACAGGGCACUAAGUCAAUAAAGGAGUGGGACAAGGCCAAUACAAAGUUUUCCUAUAUGUAAGUUGCUUUAUUUUUGACUUUUAACUGAGCUUAAAAUCUCAGCUGAAGUUUGAGUAGAGAUUAUUAACCCAAAUGGAGGGCUGAUUAAAAAAAUUUUUUUUCAUUAUAUAACCUCAUCUUAGUUCCUAUUUUUAUUUUUUCAAGGGCUUUUAAAAUACUUACAUAUCUUUAUCUAAUUUAUUUUCUAUCUACUGGAAAGUGUCUGUAGCCCUGAAUUCUUGAAAUAGACAUUUUUCAGAGCCAAGAACUUUCUGGAUGAUUUUUGGGUCUGCAGUUACUUAAAUAAUAAGUUGCUACUCAUUUAUAUAUUUUUCUCCGAUGUAUUUAUCUCCUUUUCAGACCAAAUUAAAGAGAGUAAAACAAUAACUAAGCUAAUAGAUGAAUAAUUAACAAUGAUAUUUCAUGUCCAAUGUCUGCUAACCUGUGAUCAUUCUAAGUAGUCGGCAGAAGGUUUGCCAGUUACAGUGGUUUAUUUUAAAAAGCGUCAGUUUUGUCAUAUUUGUUAUAUUUUGUGGCAAAUAGGCAGUCAGAACAUUGGUGUUUGUGGAUUAUGGAUGAAUUCUAUAAGCGAUACUAUUCAUUUUCAUAUUUCUAGCCUACACCUAUUCCUACAUGUUAUAUAUAUAUACACACACAUAUAUAUACUACUUUAACUAAUCUUAAUAUUAACUAAAAAUUAGCCUGUAUUCUAUUUGCUAUUGUUAAGUGAAGUGUUUCUUUCUUGUUUUCUCCAAAAAGUUCUAAUUUGCAUAAAUUUCCAGGACAACAUUGUUCUUUACUUACAAAUGCCUAUAUUUCUAUUAUUUCUGAUAUGCCCUCAAGGGUUUUAAUUGAUGAAAUAAGUCUUUUUCUUAAUGUCAUUUACUAUGUUGACUUUUUUCCAAUAUUUCUGCCAUUCAUUAGAAUUUUAUUCUACUUAUUCCCAGAAAAAAUUUUACACUUCACAGGCUUAAAUGACAUACAUGGAUGGGCUCUAUAAUGCUUUGGAAUGCUCUGGUUAGCUACAUUUUUAGAAGUUUUGCUCACUAAAAAGUGGCAUGAGAAUUUAAAAGUUAUAUUCUUAGCUUUAAAAAGUAAGUCAAAAUUCUUUCAGACACAUGGUCCAUUUCUAAUACUCAGGACAGAUCAGGAGGGGGUGGUAGGCAGAAACUGGCAGGAGAUUAUUCAUUGGUGUAGAACAGUUGAUGAGAUCCUGAUUUACCCACAGAAGAUGACAGACUGAAAGGUAGCUAAUAACAUCACUGGAGCUGGAAACUGAGACAUGAUUUAACAAAUGAUUGACACAUCAGGGCAAGGAAAGAGUCUACCUUUUAACUGGGGUUCUAACCAGGGUUCUCAUCCUAAAGCUUAAAUAAAUUAGAUAUAAGAGAAACCUCCUUUACUAAACAAAACCCGGAGAUCCAACAUUUCAGCAUCGUAAGAAGAAGCUGGAGGAGGAUGAGGUCAGUUCACUAAUCUGCUCUGAUUCUGUUUCUCCUUGAUAUUUUUCCCAUUUGGUUCCCUCACUCGGAUUAACACUGUUACCUUCACACUGAGUUAUUCCAUUUUCAUGCUCUGGUACAGUACAGAAAGAAAUGCUGUCUCAUGGGUUUUCAAAGCACAACUAAAUGGCUUUAAUAUUAACAAAUAAGACUAUAAAGAAAACAAAUAUAUGGGCUCUAACUUGCCACGUGUAGGUUUAUUAAUACCUCGCUAUAAUGAAGGCUAUUCCAAUGUGUACACGUUUUAUCCAUCUCUGUCUCCAGUGUCAGAGCUGGGAUACAGCUUCACCAUCACCUUGUCUGCAUUUCCUGCUUUCCCAUUCCCAGGUUGCGUUCAUGUCAAAGUUGCCAACAUACCUCCAGCGAAAAAGAAUUUAAUGCAACUGGUAAUGCUAACCCUUCUACUCACUAUUAACCCAAAUGUUUACAUUGCAUAUUUUAGCCUUCCAUAAUUUUCACUUUGUGUAUUUAAAUGAGCAUGUACAAAUGUUUAGCUCUCAAUUGUGAAUUUUCUCACUUAAAAAUCACGAGGCUAUGCAGAAAGAUACAAUUCCUUAUUCUUUUCCCCUCUCUUUAUUUUAUAUUCUUUAAGUCUGAUUUAAUCUGUAAGUCUGAUUUAACUCCUGAAGUCUGAUUCAGACAUUGCCAUACCCAGUCUUCCCAUUAUUUAUGGCUUCUUGCUGAGGACACUGUCUCUUUACAUUUUGUUCAUUUUCUUUCAGAGAUUCUAUGAGAUUAAUUUGAAAUAUUUUUCUUGGAAGCAUUUUUGAAGUUGUUUUUCUCUGUAGUUUUGAAUGAAUCAUCUGAUUUCUGCUCUUUAUUUAAACAUCAUUUCAAAAUUUAAUCUCCUUCAUAAGACUAAAUAACAUUCUGUGUGAUAGCAGACAUUUUCUGCACAGAAUUACAAAAGGGAAACAAAGUAUUGUUAUAGUAACUUGGACUUUUAAUCAUGUUUAUUUGUAUGUUUGUGAACCUCCUAUUUCACUGCAAACCACAGUCCAACAUUCUGUGUAAACUUCUUAUUCAUUAGUUUAACAUUUAAUUAUUUUAAUGUGAAUUAAAUUAUUCAAAAAUUUUUAUUAGAUGCCCACAGUGGGCCAGGCCCUUUUCACGCACUUGGCGUUUGUUAUACAACAGACAGAGGCCUUGUUUUUAUUUUUUGUGGCAGGUGGUGAAGGAGAACAACAAAUUUAAGAUAUACAUUAUAUUAUGCCAGAGUAUAUCUGUAUAUUAACGUUAUAUGUAAUAAGAGUCUAUGUGGAAAAUAAAAUGGGCCAGUAAAGCAGGGCAGUAGACAAAUCAAGUGCUAGGGUGGAAUGGGCAUAUUAAAAUAUUAAAUGUUACCACCAUAGACCUCUCAAGAAGAAAACAUUUAAGUCAAGAUUUCAAGGAGCAAGAAAAUUAGCCAAAUGGAUAUCAAGGAGAAAUCCUUCCAGCUAUCCAGCUAUAAAAAACAGGCCAAGCAAGUAUUCUAUUAUUUCAUAAGAAAUCACCACAAACAGUAAGUUAAAACAAUACCCAUUUCUUUUCUCACACUUGUGUAGCUCAGAGGUCUGGGUAGAAGUGACUGGGUUCUCUGUUUAGAGUUUCACCAGGCCAAAAGCAAGGUUUUCGGCAGAAUAGGCUAUCUGGAGGACCUGGGGAAGAAUCUACUUCCCAGCUAAUUCAGGUCAUCGGUAAAAUUCAGUUUCUAAUACAUUGGAGGCCAGCAGGGGAUCACAAUCAGCUCCCAGAAAUUACUCUCAGUUCUUCCAGGCAGCCCAUUCCAUUCCAGUGGCAGAGAACCUUCCCUGUGACAAACCCCUCUCAUGCUUUAGAUCUCCCUGGCUUCCUCUUCUGCUACCAUCCAGAGAAGACUCUCUACCUUUAAAGAGCUCCUGCAGUAAGGUUAGAUCCACUUAUAGAGUCUUCUUUUUAAUUAAUUCAAAGUCAACUGAUGAUUAGCCUCAAUUACAUCGCCAAGAUCCAUUUAUUCCAGGUAAUGACACAUAUUCAUGGAUGUGAUCUCAUCAUAAUCAGUCCUGGGAUCAGGGUGAGAUAUUUUGGGAAGGCAUUUUAUAAGUCUGCCUACCACAGGCCCUAAGGCAAUGAUAUUCUAGGAACAUCAAGAAGACACAGGUAGCUGGAGAGGAGUGUACGAGGGGGUUCCGAGAGGUAAUAAGCAACCCUUAUGCAGGGUCUGCAAGGUGUGGGGAAGAGUUCAUGGAGGUAAUGGAAGAUGCUCACAUGCGGUGCCGUAGGUUAUCUUAAGAACUUUGAAUGUUACGUGGAGUGAAAUAUGGAGCCACAACAGGAUUUAGGACAGAGUUUUUAAAUACUUUUCUUACUUGAGGAUAAACCAUUGCACCGAAGAACAAAGUAUAUAUAUUUUUCUUCU
This is a long non-coding RNA of Cercocebus atys (sooty mangabey), 4551 nucleotides long. RefSeq lists it as uncharacterized. The transcript is spliced from 4 exons. The record is from RefSeq and is a predicted model, not a curated record. NCBI's taxonomy places the organism in Eukaryota, Metazoa, Chordata, Mammalia, Primates, Cercopithecidae.